GGGGGUGUAGCUCAGCUGGGAGAGCACCUGCUUUGCAAGCAGGGGGUCAGCGGUUCGAAUCCGCUCAUCUCCACCA
RNAcentral lists this transfer RNA (76 nucleotides) under bacterium. RNAcentral's name for it is "tRNA-Ala". It matches the Rfam family "tRNA". Rfam says of the family: Transfer RNA (tRNA) molecules are approximately 80 nucleotides in length. The record is from RNAcentral. RNAcentral also lists the same sequence under 2 other names.